Molecule: ribosomal RNA, 477 nt
Filed under: uncultured bacterium
Lineage: Bacteria
Description: bacterial SSU rRNA
Rfam family: Bacterial small subunit ribosomal RNA
Source: RNAcentral
AUUAGAGUUUGAUCCUGGCUCAGAACGAACGCUGGCGGCAGGCCUAACACAUGCAAGUCGAGCGCGCCCUUCGGGGUGAGCGGCGGACGGGUGAGUAACGCGUGGGAACGUGCCCUUUGCUACGGAAUAGUCUCGGGAAACUGGGGGUAAUACCGUAUGAGCCCUUCGGGGGAAAGAUUUAUCGGCAAAGGAUCGGCCCGCGUUGGAUUAGGUAGUUGGUGGGGUAAUGGCUCACCAAGCCGACGAUCCAUAGCUGGUUUGAGAGGAUGAUCAGCCACACUGGGACUGAGACACGGCCCAGACUCCUACGGGAGGCAGCAGUGGGGAAUCUUAGACAACGGGCGCAAGCCUGAUCUAGCCAUGCCGCGUGAGCGAUGAAGGCCUUAGGGUUGUAAAGCUCUUUCGUGGGGGAAGAUAAUGACUGUACCCCAAGAAGAAGCCCCGGCUAACUCCGUGCCAGCAGCCGCGGUAAUAAUC